RNAcentral lists this ribosomal RNA (426 nucleotides) under uncultured Bacillus sp. RNAcentral's name for it is "bacterial SSU rRNA". It matches the Rfam family "Bacterial small subunit ribosomal RNA", at positions 355 to 774 of the family's 1533-position model. Lineage: Bacteria; Bacillati; Bacillota; Bacilli; Caryophanales; Bacillaceae. The record is from RNAcentral.
UAGGGAAUCUUCCGCAAUGGACGAAAGUCUGACGGAGCAACGCCGCGUGAGCGAUGAAGGCCUUCGGGUCGUAAAGCUCUGUUGUUAGGGAAGAACAAGUAUCAGUUAACUGCUGGUACCUUGACGGUACCUAACGAGAAAGCCACGGCUAACUACGUGCCAGCAGCCGCGGUAAUACGUAGGUGGCAAGCGUUGUCCGGAUUUAUUGGGCGUAAAGCGCGCGCAGGCGGUUCUUUAAGUCUGAUGUGAAAGCCCACGGCUCAACCGUGGAGGGUCAUUGGAAACUGGGGAACUUGAGUGCAGAAGAGGAGAGCGGAAUUCCACGUGUAGCGGUGAAAUGCGUAGAGAUGUGGAGGAACACCAGUGGCGAAGGCGGCUCUCUGGUCUGUAACUGACGCUGAGGCGCGAAAGCGUGGGGAGCAAACA